Molecule: unclassified non-coding RNA, 344 nt
Filed under: Hevea brasiliensis (rubber tree)
Lineage: Eukaryota; Viridiplantae; Streptophyta; Magnoliopsida; Malpighiales; Euphorbiaceae
Source: RNAcentral
GAAAUGUGAUGUGGACGAUACACUUCAUGUAGGUCUUGAUAUUAAGGUUGUGAAUGAGGACUCAUAGCUGUCUCACAAGCGACUUGAGGGAAAUGAACACGCUUGACCACUUUGAUCACAACUUACAUUGCAAGUAGGAAUGAUAUUUAACUGUUGAUGAUAGGUAGUCACUUACGGAUUAAUUUUUGGAAUAGUUUGAGAUGGUUGAUUGCCAUCUUUCCAUGUAUUCUAUGGACUAAAAACAUUUUUGGCCGUCAGAGUUUCAAUCAUACGGAAUCUGAUAUCCAGUAAGUUUUCAUGUUUGUUUAUAGCUACAAACAAACAUGAAAACUUACUGGAUAUCA